UGGUUGUUCUCAAGUGAAAGACCCUACAAGAAACAGUUAACCCCAUUAGACACCGGCAUUUCAGCACUAUUUAGAGACAGGCUCAUCGCAGAUAUUUCUCACAUACACAAGCAGAGAGAGGGUGAGACUUAAAAUUGAGAGAAACAGAGAGCACAAAACUCACUUCUAGAAACCAAAAGGAAAAAGAAAAAAAAAGAAACACCCUUCUUCUUUUCACAAGCACAUGAUUCAACAUCAGUGUGAACACAAAUACCCAGGUAUAAAGGAGGAAAUCAAUCUGAAAUUAGAUUACUGCCCAAAAAACUCAUAUGGGCUUUACUUUUAGAUAAUACGUUUGGUUUCUUUCAAUGGGUUGAACUAUCAGAAAGAGUGCAAUAGCAAAUGGCCUCUAAAACUUCAGCUAAGAACAACUUAGAACUUCCAAUUUCGAAGUCUGAACUUAAAUCCCAAAGGGCUGCGGAAGACAGGUUGUAUAAGAUGGGGAAGACUACCCCAUCAAGUAGCCUAAGGCCAGGUGAGCAUCCUGAUGAGACGGAGCGAAAAAGGAACAAAAGGAGAGGAGAAUGUUUAAAAUUAAAAAAAAAAGUACAAAAAAAAAAAGAUCAAGUACCCUUCUUUUUGUCCA
RNAcentral lists this unclassified non-coding RNA (625 nucleotides) under Hevea brasiliensis (rubber tree). The record is from RNAcentral. Lineage: Eukaryota; Viridiplantae; Streptophyta; Magnoliopsida; Malpighiales; Euphorbiaceae.